GGCUCUAUGGUCUAGAGGUAUGAUUCCUGCUUUGGGUAAUGUCUGCAGGAGGCCCCGCGUUCGAAUCGCGGUGGAGCCC
Non-coding RNA from Viridothelium virens, 79 nucleotides. NCBI's taxonomy places the organism in Eukaryota, Fungi, Ascomycota, Dothideomycetes, Trypetheliales, Trypetheliaceae. The record is from the annotation of a GenBank genome assembly.